AAAAAUCGCCGAGCAGGCAAUUUCUUCGAUACGGGUGGUCUACUCCUUUGUUGCCGAGAGGAAAACAUUGGAGUUAUACUCCGGGGCCCUGGAAGAGAGUAUCAAAGUCGAUCGCAAGCAGGGACUGGCCAAAGGACUUACGCUGGGAUUCCAUGGACUACGAUAUGUCGUGUGGGCUUUAAUGACUUGGUAUGGAGGAAGUUUGGUAGCCAAGGGUCAAGCAAAUGGUGCUCAAAUACUCCUCGCGGGAUCUGCAUUUGUCGUGGGAAGCAUGUAAGUGUCUAUGCCAUGAAAACAUAGUUUCUUACAUUUUGGAUGCGGCUUUUGGCAGGGCAUUGGGCAGUAUACUCCAGAAUCUUAGAGAGAUCAAAGAUGGCCAGGCAGCGCUCUCC
Molecule: long non-coding RNA, 392 nt
Filed under: Selaginella moellendorffii
Lineage: Eukaryota; Viridiplantae; Streptophyta; Lycopodiopsida; Selaginellales; Selaginellaceae
Description: long non-coding RNA (SMOE_LNC001463)
Source: RNAcentral